RNAcentral lists this ribosomal RNA (402 nucleotides) under uncultured bacterium. RNAcentral's name for it is "bacterial SSU rRNA". It matches the Rfam family "Bacterial small subunit ribosomal RNA", at positions 355 to 774 of the family's 1533-position model. The record is from RNAcentral.
UGGGGAAUAUUGCACAAUGGGCGAAAGCCUGAUGCAGCAACGCCGCGUGAGUGAUGAAGGCCUUCGGGUUGUAAAGCUCUGUCUUCUGGGACGAUAAUGACGGUACCAGAGGAGGAAGCCACGGCUAACUACGUGCCAGCAGCCGCGGUAAUACGUAGGUGGCAAGCGUUGUCCGGAUUUACUGGGCGUAAAGGAUGCGUAGGCGGAUACUUAAGUCAGAUGUGAAAAUCCCGGGCUUAACUUGGGAACUGCAUUUGAAACUGGGUAUCUAGAGUGCGGGAGAGGAAAGUGGAAUUCCUAGUGUAGCGGUGAAAUGCGUAGAUAUUGGGAGGAACACCAGUGGCGAAGGCGACUUUCUGGACUGUGUCUGACACUGAGGCGCGAAAGCCAGGGGAGCGAACG